AGGUAAUCUUCUACACUAUAUACACGUUUAUUAUUGCCUAUACAGUGUAGUUUGCGGAAAUGACAUGUAAAGAAUAAGUUGGUUUACAUAUACAGAGUAUAGCCAGCACUAUACCAUUAUAUUGAUCGUAUCACUACUGGGGUUUGUCUAUUUUACACAAAGGUAGUGCUCAUGCUUUAUUUUUUUGCAUUUUACUGCUCUAAAACACUAUGUUCAGUGAUGUGUCAGGAGUAGAACAGUACCCCUUAUGUACAGAUUGUGUGGUUUUAGAAAGUUACCCAGUCAAAUAUAGAGCUUGCAAAUUAAAUUAUUUGGACUUUAUAUAAAUAAGUCAGUCA
This is a non-coding RNA of Pelobates cultripes (western spadefoot toad), 338 nucleotides long. NCBI's taxonomy places the organism in Eukaryota, Metazoa, Chordata, Amphibia, Anura, Pelobatidae. The record is from the annotation of a GenBank genome assembly.